GCAAGUCGAACGGUAACAGGUUAAGCUGACGAGUGGCGCACGGGUGAGUAAUGUAUCGGAACGUGACCAGUCGUGGGGGAUAACUGCUCGAAAGAGCAGCUAAUACCGCAUACGACCUGAGGGUGAAAGCGGGGGAUCUCAAGCCCCCGCGCGAUUGGAGCGGCCGAUAUCAGAUUAGGUAGUUGGUGAGGUAAAGGCUCACCAAGCCGACGAUCUGUAGCUGGUCUGAGAGGACGACC
Molecule: ribosomal RNA, 239 nt
Filed under: uncultured bacterium
Lineage: Bacteria
Description: partial 16S ribosomal RNA
Rfam family: Bacterial small subunit ribosomal RNA
Source: RNAcentral